GAUGAACGCUAGCUACAGGCUUAACACAUGCAAGUCGAGGGGCAGCAUUACGGUAGCUUGCUACUGUAGAUGGCGACCGGCGCACGGGUGAGUAACGCGUAUCCAACCUACCCAUGACUUGGGGGAUAACCUUGCGAAAGCAAGCCUAAUACCCGAUACGCUUCAUAGAUGGCAUCUGAAAUGAAGUAAAGGUUUACGGUUAUGGAUGGGGAUGCGUCCGAUUAGCUUGUUGGCGGGGUAACGGCCCACCAAGGCAUCGAUCGGUAGGGGUUCUGAGAGGAAGGUCCCCCACAUUGGAACUGAGACACGGUCCAAACUCCUACGGGAGGCAGCAGUGAGGAAUAUUGGUCAAUGGAGGCAACUCUGAACCAGCCAAGUAGCGUGCAGGAUGACGGCCCUAUGGGUUGUAAACUGUCUUUUAUGCGGGGAUAAAUUGACUCACGUGUGGGUUAUUGCAGGUACCGCAUGAAUAAGGACCGGCUAAUUCCGUG
Molecule: ribosomal RNA, 491 nt
Filed under: uncultured bacterium
Lineage: Bacteria
Description: bacterial SSU rRNA
Rfam family: Bacterial small subunit ribosomal RNA
Source: RNAcentral